RNAcentral lists this ribosomal RNA (427 nucleotides) under uncultured bacterium. RNAcentral's name for it is "partial 16S ribosomal RNA". It matches the Rfam family "Bacterial small subunit ribosomal RNA", at positions 355 to 774 of the family's 1533-position model. The record is from RNAcentral.
UGGGGAAUAUUGCACAAUGGGCGCAAGCCUGAUGCAGCCAUGCCGCGUGUAUGAAGAAGGCCUUCGGGUUGUAAAGUACUUUCAGCGAGGAGGAAGGCGUUGUGGUUAAUAACCGCAACGAUUGACGUUACUCGCAGAAGAAGCACCGGCUAACUCCGUGCCAGCAGCCGCGGUAAUACGGAGGGUGCAAGCGUUAAUCGGAAUUACUGGGCGUAAAGCGCACGCAGGCGGUCUGUCAAGUCGGAUGUGAAAUCCCCGGGCUCAACCUGGGAACUGCAUCCGAAACUGGCAGGCUAGAGUCUUGUAGAUGGGGGUAGAAUUCCAGGUGUAGCGGUGAAAUGCGUAGAGAUCUGGAGGAAUACCGGUGGCGAAGGCGGCCCCCUGGACAAAGACUGACGCUCAGGUGCGAAAGCGUGGGGAGCAAACA